This 460-nucleotide ribosomal RNA is filed under the name uncultured bacterium. Its description in RNAcentral is "partial 16S ribosomal RNA". It matches the Rfam family "Bacterial small subunit ribosomal RNA", at positions 338 to 795 of the family's 1533-position model. The record is from RNAcentral.
CCUACGUGAGGCUGCAGUGAGGAAUAUUGGUCAAUGGGCGGAAGCCUGAACCAGCCAAGUCGCGUGAGGGAAUAAGGCCCUACGGGUCGUAAACCUCUUUUGCCGGGGAGCAAGGGCCGGGACGCGUCCCGGCCCGGAGAGUACCCGGAGAAAAAGCAUCGGCUAACUACGUGCCAGCAGACGCGGUAAUACGGAGGAUGCGAGCGUUAUCCGGAUUUAUUGGGUUUAAAGGGUGCGUAGGCGGGCUGUUAAGUCAGCGGUAAAAAUUCGGGGCUCAACCCCGUCCGGCCGUUGAAACUGGGGGCCGUGAGUGGGCGAGAGGAAGGCGGAAUGCGUGGUGUAGCGGUGAAAGGCAUAGAUAUUAGGAAGAACACCAGUGGCGAAGGCGGCUUGCUGGACAGUAACUGACGUUGAGGCUCGAAAGCGUGGGGAGCAAACAGGAUUAGAUACCCCAGUAGUC